UACGGAGGGUGCAAGCGUUAUCCGGAUUUAUUGGGUUUAAAGGGUCCGUAGGCGGAUCUGUAAGUCAGUGGUGAAAUCUCACAGCUUAACUGUGAAACUGCCAUUGAUACUGCAGGUCUUGAGUAAGGUAGAAGUGGCUGGAAUAAGUGGUGUAGCGGUGAAAUGCAUAGAUAUUACUUAGAACACCAAUUGCGAAGGCAGGUCACUAUGUCUUAACUGACGCUGAUGGACGAAAGCGUGGGGAGCGAACAGG
RNAcentral lists this ribosomal RNA (253 nucleotides) under uncultured bacterium. RNAcentral's name for it is "partial 16S ribosomal RNA". It matches the Rfam family "Bacterial small subunit ribosomal RNA", at positions 524 to 776 of the family's 1533-position model. The record is from RNAcentral.